Molecule: ribosomal RNA, 751 nt
Filed under: uncultured bacterium
Lineage: Bacteria
Description: bacterial SSU rRNA
Rfam family: Bacterial small subunit ribosomal RNA
Source: RNAcentral
CGCUGGCGGCGCGCCUAACACAUGCAAGUCGAACGAUUAAAGCGCCUUCGGGCGUGUAUAAAGUGGCGAACGGCUGAGUAACACGUGGGCAACCUGCCCCUCGCACCGGGACAGCCUCGGGAAACUGGGAGUAAUACCGGAUACUCCGCCACCCCCGCAUGGGGGAGGCGGGAAAGCCUUUACGGCGAGGGAUGGGCCCGCGGCCUGUUAGCUCGUUGGUGGGGUAACGGCCCACCAAGGCGAUUAUGGGUAGCUGGGUUGAGAGACCGACCAGCCAGAUUGGGACUGAGACACGGCCCAAACUCCUACGGGAGGCAGCAGUGGGGGAUCUUGCACAAUGGGCGAAAGCCUGAUGCAGCGACGCCGCGUGCGGGAUGAAGGCCUUCGGGUUGUAAACCGCUUUCAGUGGGGACGAGGCCGCGAGGUGACGGUACCCACAGAAGAAGCCCCGGCUAACUACGUGCCAGCAGCCGCGGUAAUACGUAGGGGGCAAGCGUUAUCCGGAUUCAUUGGGCGUAAAGCGCUCGUAGGCGGUCCGUUAGGUCGGGAGUUAAAUCCGGGGGCUCAACCCCCGCCCGCUCCCGAUACCGGCGGACUUGAGUUUGGUAGGGGAAAGUGGAAUUCCCAGUGUAGCGGUGGAAUGCGCAGAUAUUGGGAGGAACACCAGUGGCGAAGGCGGCUUUCUGGGCCACAACUGACGCUGAGGAGCGAAAGCUAGGGGAGCGAACAGGAUUAGAUACCCUGGUAGUCC